RNAcentral lists this ribosomal RNA (695 nucleotides) under uncultured bacterium. RNAcentral describes it as "bacterial SSU rRNA". It matches the Rfam family "Bacterial small subunit ribosomal RNA", at positions 32 to 715 of the family's 1533-position model. The record is from RNAcentral.
AACGCUAGCUACAGGCUUAACACAUGCAAGUCGAGGGGCAGCGGGAAGCAAGCUUGCUUGCUUUGCCGGCGACCGGCGUACGGGUGCGUAACGCGUACCGAACCUACCUCACACUCCGGGAUAGCCCUGCGAAAGCAGGAUUAAUACCGGGUAGCCUCACUAUAUCGCAUGAUAUUAUGAGUAAAGAUUUAUUGGUGUGAGAUGGCGGUGCGUCCCAUUAGUUAGUUGGCGGGGUAACGGCCCACCAAGACGACGAUGGGUAGGGGUUCUGAGAGGAAGGUCCCCCACAUUGGAACUGAGACACGGUCCAAACUCCUACGGGAGGCAGCAGUGAGGAAUAUUGGUCAAUGGCCGCAAGGCUGAACCAGCCAAGUAGCGUGCAGGAAGACGGCCCUCGGGUUGUAAACUGCUUUUAGUCGGGAAUAAAAGGGCGCACGUGUGCGUCGUAUUGCAAGUACCGUCAGAAAAAGGACCGGCUAAUUCCGUGCCAGCAGCCGCGGUAAUACGGAAGGUCCGGGCGUUAUCCGGAUUUAUUGGGUUUAAAGGGAGCGUAGGCGGUCUGGUAAGUCAGCUGUGAAAACGCGGGGCUCAACCGUGGCACUGCAGCGCGAACUGGGGGGCUUGAGUGCACGCAACGCAGGCGGAAUUCGUGGUGUAGCGGUGAAAUGCUUAGAUAUCACGAAGAACUCCGAUUG